Long non-coding RNA from Lynx canadensis (Canada lynx), 1926 nucleotides. RefSeq lists it as uncharacterized. The record is from RefSeq and is a predicted model, not a curated record. The transcript has 3 exons. Lineage: Eukaryota; Metazoa; Chordata; Mammalia; Carnivora; Felidae.
CGAGGGAAGAGCGGGGCGGCGCCCGCGCGUUACGUGAUGGAACCCGCCCGGCGGGCGCAACAGGAGGCCCGCCUGGGGGCAGUGCGCUGCCGGCCGCGUCACGUGACGCUUCUUGCCAACAGGUCGCCCGAGGCGGGACGCGGGGGUCACAGAGGGCAGUGGUGAACUGUGUGGAAUUGCUGAUGCUGGAGCUGAAACCUGAAUAUGAGGAUGCUCUAAACUGAUUUGCAGCACAGUAAAAAUGGAAGAAUAAGAGCUGUGUGAGGAUACAAGAAGAAAACAGUCAUUUGCAAACAGGAAGAGUUCCCUCACCGGACACUAGAUCGGGCCUUGAUCUUGGACUUCUAGUCUCCAGGACAGUGAGAAAUAAAUGUUUGUUGUUUAAGCCACCCAGUCAGUCUAUAACACCCUAAACUAAGAGAACACAGUCUUGAAGGUUUGCUUUAAAAAUGAGGAAACCAAGGCCUAGGGAGGAGAGACAAAACACAGUGUGGAAGGACUCUUAGAUGGCUUUGAUAAACCUAAAUUGUACUCUUGUGUGACUGUAGGCAAGUUUGUGACUAGGCCUCAAAUUCCUCUUCUGCAAAGGGAGAAGACUGAGAAGCGGUAAGUGAUUUUCAAGAUGCGUUUUGAGGCAUUUACAGUCUGCUUUUAUGAUUUUGAGAUGGAGUGUCUUGGCUGAAGUCAUACAGUGUUCUAUCACCUGGCCCAAUGUUUUGUUUUAUGACACCACACUGAGUUUCCAUUAAAAAAUUUUUUUAUGUGAACUAAUUUUUCUUAUGUAUUUGUAUUGCUAUGAAAAUACUACCAGAAGGCAGCAUUGUACAGUGCAUAAGCAUAAACUUUGAAACCAAUUGGACCUAGGUUUGGAUGUAGGUCUACUUUUAGCUCUUGUGACCUUGGAGGAGAUACUUAACCCCUUCUCAGCCUCGUUUUGUCAUUGUAAGAAAACUGUGUAUAAUACCUGCCUUAUAGGGUUGCUGAUUAGAUUGAGAUUGUGUCUAUAAAGCAUCACGGUCAUAGCAGGUACAAAACAUUCUUAGUCCAAUCAGGCUGCUAACAGAAAUUCAUUUCUCAUAGUUUUGGAGGUUGAGAAGUCCAAAACCAAGGCUCUGGCAGAUCUGGUGUGUGGUGAGAACCAACUUCCUGGUUUUCAGAUGGCAGUAAAAGGGCUAACUGGUUCUUGGCCUUUUCUUAUAAGGGCACUAAUCCCAUUCAUGAGGGCUCUGCCCUCAUUACCUAAUCAUUUCCCAAAUUAUGCCCUGCUUCCUAAUACUAUCACAUUGGGGAUUAGGAUUUCAGUAUAUCAAUUUGAGGAAUAUACAAACAUUCAGUCUGUAGCACAUUUCACAUCUCCCUCCUUCUUAAUGAUUUGGGGAGAUAAGGAAUUACGGCAAAGAGUUCAUAAACCAGGAUGGAGAUGGGGCAUGCAUUUUUUCUAUAAGUAAUAUUUAUUCAGGAAAACAUUUUAGUUCAAUCAGUCUUGUUGAAAGCCUUUUCAAAAUAUUACUCUGUGCUCCUCCUUUGGAACACUCUGAAUAUAAUUGGAUCUUUCUUGAUGACUGAAGACCUUGCCAUGCCUCAGGCUUAUUAUUCAGCUCUUUGGAUAAAUAUGCAGAAGGUGCAAAACUUAGUUGGAAUGUGUUGAACUCAGGAAAUCUUCUAGAAGUUUGUUGUUUAUUUUGAAUUGAAUUCUUUGUUAACAAUUUUAUCGUGGUCAGACUUCUAAAUAGUGUAAGCAUUCCAUUUGUAGAUGUGUAGAUAUUGGAUAUUGUGUUCUGGUUAAACAAAUGAUCAACAGUUUUUUUUUUCUUUUAAUGACUUCUUUGUUAACAGACCUGAACCAGGAAUCAUCUUUAACAUGAGGAAAUAUGAAGGCCUUUGAGGCCUUAAGGAAUGGAUACCCUAAUGGGGGGAGGGGCAAAA